RNAcentral lists this ribosomal RNA (123 nucleotides) under Metschnikowia agaves. RNAcentral's name for it is "5.8S ribosomal RNA". It matches the Rfam family "5.8S ribosomal RNA", at positions 1 to 126 of the family's 154-position model. From Rfam's summary of the family: 5.8S ribosomal RNA (5.8S rRNA) is a component of the large subunit of the eukaryotic ribosome. Lineage: Eukaryota; Fungi; Ascomycota; Pichiomycetes; Serinales; Metschnikowiaceae. The record is from RNAcentral.
AAACUUUCAACAACGGAUCUCUUGGUUCUCGCAUCGAUGAAGAACGCAGCGAAAUGCGAUACGUAGUAUGACUUGCAGACGUGAAUCAUUGAAUUUUUGAACGCACAUUGCGCCUUUAGGUAU